Malaya genurostris is the source of this 539-nucleotide long non-coding RNA. RefSeq lists it as uncharacterized. Lineage: Eukaryota; Metazoa; Arthropoda; Insecta; Diptera; Culicidae. The record is from RefSeq and is a predicted model, not a curated record. The transcript has 4 exons.
AGAUUGUUGAAAAAAAUGACCAGGCAUCCACGGAACCAAGAAGUUUCACAGCACAACUGGAUUGGUAAAAAUAAAGUAUGAUGAUUUUAUUUACUAUAGAACCUAGGACGGAACAUAUUUCGUUUACACAACAAUGGGCACUGGAAGAUUAUUCGACAGUGCUUUAAAGUCGUUUGUAGAAUCUAAUCUUCAAGCUGGAUGCUAUAAUUUGCACGUUUUGUAAUACGAUAAUAACUUCAUGCCACAAGCGAAAUCCGAUAAUUAUUUUCUAUUCACGAAUAGAUGGAAUUAAAACGGCAAAUUGCCAAAUGGGACAAUCAGUUACAGAUUCACGUCUAGAGAACACGAACACCGUACAAAGCAAACUCAUUACUUAAUUGACAUAUUCUUUGCUGGAAGUUUGACCUUGUUAGUAAUUCAUGCUCGUCAGUGCUGUAACGACGCUUAACUGGUUCAGAUGACGACGCCUUAAAUUCCUUCUGAUGACAUGCGCGUUCAAAAUGCCCUUUAAUACCACAAUUUCGACAAUUCUGAUCAAU